CCUACGGGAGGCAGCAGUGGGGAAUAUUGGGCAAUGGGCGCAAGCCUGACCCAGCAACGCCGCGUGAAGGAAGAAGGCUUUCGGGUUGUAAACUUCUUUUGUCAGGGACGAAGCAAGUGACGGUACCUGACGAAUAAGCCACGGCUAACUACGUGCCAGCAGCCGCGGUAAUACGUAGGUGGCAAGCGUUAUUCGGAUUUACUGGGUGUAAAGGUCGUGUAGGCGGGGAAGCAAGUCAGAUGUGAAAACCACGGGCUCAACCUGUGGCCUGCAUUUGAAACUGUUUUUCUUGAGUGCUGGAGAGGCAAGCGGAAUUCCGGGUGUAGCGGUGAAAUGCGUAGAGAUACGGAGGAACACCAGUGGCGAAGGCGGAUUGCUGGACAGUAACUGACGCUGAGGCGCGAAAGCGUGGGGAGCAAACAGGAUUAGAUACCCCUGUAGUC
Molecule: ribosomal RNA, 443 nt
Filed under: uncultured bacterium
Lineage: Bacteria
Description: partial 16S ribosomal RNA
Rfam family: Bacterial small subunit ribosomal RNA
Source: RNAcentral